GUACCCGCUGAACUUAAGCAUAUCAAUAAGCGGAGGAAAAGAAACCAACAGGGAUUGCCCUAGUAACGGCGAGUGAAGCGGCAACAGCUCAAAUUUGAAAUCUGGCGUCUUUGGCGUCCGAGUUGUAAUUUGCAGAGGGCGCUUUGGCAUUGGCAGCGGUCCAAGUUCCUUGGAACAGGACGUCACAGAGGGUGAGAAUCCCGUACGUGGUCGCUAGCCUUUACCGUGUAAAGCCCCUUCGACGAGUCGAGUUGUUUGGGAAUGCAGCUCUAAAUGGGAGGUAAAUUUCUUCUAAAGCUAAAUACUGGCCAGAGACCGAUAGCGCACAAGUAGAGUGAUCGAAAGAUGAAAAGCACUUUGGAAAGAGAGUUAAAAAGCACGUGAAAUUGUUGAAAGGGAAGCGCUUGCAGCCAGACUUGCCUGUAGUUGCUCAUCCAGGUUUCUACCUGGUGCACUCUUCUAUAGGCAGGCCAGCAUCAGUUUGGGCGGUUGGAUAAAGGUCUCUGUCAUGUACCUCUCUUCGGGGAGAACUUAUAGGGGAGACGACAUGCAACCAGCCUGGACUGAGGUCCGCGCAUCUGCUAGGAUGCUGGCGUAAUGGCUGUAAGCGGCCCGUCUUGAAACACGGACCAAGGAGUCUAACAUCUAUGCGAGUGUUUGGGUGUCAAGCCCGAGCGCGUAAUGAAAGUGAACGGAGGUGGGAACCUUUCGGGGUGCACCAUCGACCGAUCCUGAUGUCUUCGGAUGGAUUUGAGUAAGAGCAUAGCUGUUGGGACCCGAAAGAUGGUGAACUAUGCUUGAAUAGGGUGAAGCCAGAGGAAACUCUGGUGGAGGCUCGCAGCGGUUCUGACGUGCAAAUCGAUCGUCAAAUUUGGGCAUAGGGGCGAAAGACUAAUCGAACUAUCU
Molecule: ribosomal RNA, 906 nt
Filed under: Didymella bellidis
Lineage: Eukaryota; Fungi; Ascomycota; Dothideomycetes; Pleosporales; Didymellaceae
Description: partial 28S ribosomal RNA
Rfam family: Eukaryotic large subunit ribosomal RNA
Source: RNAcentral